AACGAACGCUGGCGGCAUGCCUAACACAUGCCAGUCGAACGAGACCUUCGGGUCUAGUGGCGCACGGGUGCGUAACGCGUGGGAACCUGCCCUUAGGUUCGGAAUAACUCCCCGAAAGGGGUGCUAAUACCGGAUAAUGUCUUCGGACCAAAGAUUUAUCGCCUUUGGAUGGGCCCGCGUUGGAUUAGCUAGUUGGUAGGGUAAAAGCCUACCAAGGCGACGAUCCAUAGCUGGUCUGAGAGGAUGAUCAGCCACACUGGGACUGAGACACGGCCCAGACUCAUACGGGAGAAAGCGGGGGGGAAUAUUGAACAAGGGGCAAAACCUUAAACAAAAAAUGCGGGGUGAGUAAGAAAGCCUUAGGGGUUGAAAAGCUUUUUUACCGGGGAUGAAAAGAAGAUAACGGGGAAAAUAGGCUCGGACAAGCCCGGUG
RNAcentral lists this ribosomal RNA (433 nucleotides) under uncultured bacterium. RNAcentral's name for it is "partial 16S ribosomal RNA". It matches the Rfam family "Bacterial small subunit ribosomal RNA", at positions 29 to 484 of the family's 1533-position model. The record is from RNAcentral.